AUUGAACGCUGGCGGCAGGCUUAACACAUGCAAGUCGAGCGGGGGAAGGUAGCUUGCUACCGGACCUAGCGGCGGACGGGUGAGUAAUGCUUAGGAAUCUGCCUAUUAGUGGGGGACAACAUCUCGAAAGGGAUGCUAAUACCGCAUACGUCCUACGGGAGAAAGCAGGGGAUCUUCGGACCUUGCGCUAAUAGAUGAGCCUAAGUCGGAUUAGCUAGUUGGUGGGGUAAAGGCCUACCAAGGCGACGAUCUGUAGCGGGUCUGAGAGGAUGAGCCGGCACACUGGGACUGGGACACGGCCCAGAAUCCUACGGGAGGCAGCAGUGGGGAAUAUUGGACAAUGGGGGGAACCCUGAUCUAGCCAUGCCGCGUGUGUGAAGAAGGCCUUAUGGUUGUAAAGCACUUUAAGCGAGGAGGAGGCUACUCUAGUUAAUACCUAGGGAUAGUGGACGUUACUCGCAGAAUAAGCACCGGCUAACUCUGUGCCAGCCGCCGCAGUAA
RNAcentral lists this ribosomal RNA (501 nucleotides) under uncultured bacterium. RNAcentral describes it as "partial 16S ribosomal RNA". It matches the Rfam family "Bacterial small subunit ribosomal RNA", at positions 30 to 523 of the family's 1533-position model. The record is from RNAcentral.